This 406-nucleotide ribosomal RNA is filed under the name uncultured bacterium. RNAcentral's name for it is "partial 16S ribosomal RNA". It matches the Rfam family "Bacterial small subunit ribosomal RNA", at positions 30 to 526 of the family's 1533-position model. The record is from RNAcentral.
AUUGAACGCUGGCGGCAGGCCUAACACAUGCAAGUCGAACGAGUGGCAGACGGGUGAGUAAUGUCUGGGAAACUGCCCGGUGGAGGGGGAUAUCUACUAGAAACGGUAGCUAAUACCGCAUACCCUCAGAUGUGCCCAGAUGGGAUUAGCUAGGAGGUGGGGUAAAGGCUCACCUAGGCGACUAUCCCUAGCUGGUCUGAGAGGAUGACCAGCCACACUGGAACUGAGACACGGUCCAGACUCCUACGGGAGGCAGCAGUGGGGAAUAUUGCACAAUGGGCGCAAGCCUGAUGCAGCCAUGCCGCGUGUAUGAAGAAGGCCUUCGGGUUGUAAAGUACUUUCAGCGGGGAGGCGUUACCCGCAGAAGAAGCACCGGCUAACUCCGUGCCAGCAGCCGCGGUAAUUC